Molecule: long non-coding RNA, 2152 nt
Organism: Spinacia oleracea (spinach)
Lineage: Eukaryota; Viridiplantae; Streptophyta; Magnoliopsida; Caryophyllales; Amaranthaceae
Exons: 9
Source: RefSeq, a predicted model, not a curated record
CAAAGGAGCCGCACAAAAUAUUUCUAAAAAAUUUAAUUUUCUCUCUUCCCCUCCUUCCCCUUUUCUGGUUCUCCGCCAUUAAACCUAAGCUCUUUUUUUCAUUCUCCCGCUUCUCCUCCUUCCCCUUCUCUAGUUCUCUUUUCCUCUGGUUUCUAACAAGGCCUGAACUCAAAAUUCACAUCACCCACCACGACAAGCCGCACCGCUGCAACUGUUCCGUCGCCACCGAUCUCUUCCUCUUCCUGCCGCGUAACCACUGCUGUUACCGCCACUGUUGUUCCGUUACCACAACGUCUCUUGUAAUUGGAGUUGUAUCCAUAGUAGUCGCCGCCUCUGCCGACCUCCUCCCCUUCUCUGGUGCUGCAAUUCUUGUAGCUUGGCAAGAUCAAAUUGGAGACUUAUAUCUCACAGUUUCACAAAUGGCUAAGGUGGGGUUUUAUUUCUCGCGCAGGUCUGUGGGAUAAAAGCCACUUGAUGAGGCAAAUUGAGAAAUAUGCUGAUAUUUAUACAUCUAGAGUUUCAAAUUUCCUUCAUUACACCCCGUUCAUGUAUUUCCGCUCACAGGAACAGCCAACUCAAGUCUAACAGCCUCUAGCCUCUAGUUAACUGAUCAGUAGCAGGUCAAAAUAACAAAUACAAUGAUCGACAAUAGAAACAAGUAAAACAACCAACACAGUGCCAAGCUAAACAAGCAAUAAAGUUGCAGAUCAGUAAGCAUAGCACUACGCAGGAGCAACAGUGCAGAUCAGAAUGCAGAUUAUGGAGAACGAGGAAAAAAGAGUUAGACUUAUUGAGUUAGCGUAGAGGACAGUGAUGCGUUGCAGUGACCUUUCUGCUUCGCUGCUGAUUGUUCAGGUUUGUUGGGGGGCAUAGGAGCAAAUCUUGCAGUAAUGGCCAGUAUAGGCUUAUCUCCAUUUCUACAGAAGCAUGCCAAGAGUAUCAGGACCAUAGCAAAAAGCUUCCUGAAAGUUUGUGGGAGGAUAUCCUGCAGGGAUCGGGAGUGAUAGAGAAUGACAAGGGAGGAGCAAAAAGUAGAGAACACUUUGCCUAUCACUCAUUUAGGCGUUUCUUGGACAUGCUUGCCGAUGUAUUCACAGGAGGCUUCGGUGUGGAAACUAUGAGAGCAUUCGAUCACUUGAGAGACAGCUGCAGAAUCACCAGCAAUUUGUACAGCUGCUAAACCAAAUAGCAGUAACAGAACCACCACUGUAUGGAAACCGCUAUCGGUCUGGGGCAGACCUGAGUGAGACUGGAGUAAUCAACUUCGCCAAAUGAAGUUAACCCGGUUUGACCAGGAACCAACCCAGAGUUCUAACUGCAACCCCAAUCCAACAGAACCAGCAACGUCUAAUGUGUGAACUGAGGUAUCAUUGUAGCAAGGCGUACCAGAAAUAAGCAAAAUUCAGAAUCGGCAGCAUUCAGAACUGAGGCAACAUUCAGAACCGGCAGCAGAAUCACCAACAAUCUGUACAGCUGCUAAACCAAAUAGCUGUAACAGAACCACCACUGCAUGGAAACCGCUAUCAGUCUGGGACAGACCUGAGUGAGACUGGAGUAAUCAACUUCGCCAAAUGAAGUUGACCUGGUUUGACCAGGAACCAACCAAGAGUUCUAACUGCAACCCCAAUCCAAACGAACCAGCAACUUCCAAUGUAUGAACUGAGGCAACAUUGUAGCAAGCGUACCAGAAAUAAGCAGCCUGUAAACCCCACCACCCUGCCUGCAUCCUUGACAAAAACCCAGCCUGUCGCUCCGGCCUCCUUCCCCCACCGCCGCUGAGCUCUACCUUCUUCCAGAUGGAACUAAUUCAGGACUCAGCAGUUCUCGCACAGUAAGGUUGCUUGAUAUGCGAUUGUCUGUGUUGUGCACAUUGUCGUGGCCUGAUAGCUGCUCUAAGAUAACUUGGCCACGCCUCGAUCUCUGCAAGUAUUCAAUAAUCCGAGGGAGCGACAUUUCACCUUUGAGGAGAUAGAUGAAGUUCGAGAAAUGUUGGCAAACUUCAUUACCAGUGAUUGUCUUUGAUAUUUUCUUGUACUGAAUCUUAAAUUAUGGAUGCUAGUUUUUCAUAUGAUUGUAAUGUAAUCGACUUUUAUAUUUACAAUUAUAUACUAUUCAAUUUAAUUAUCUAUAUAAUUGGAUAAUUUUUAUAUGA